AGACAAGUGAACGCUUCUGGAAGCUUUCACAGCUCUGCUAAUAAUUCCUGUCUUUCACGGCAGACAUUUUUAAUAAGGAAGCAAAAUGUCUUACAUAAAUUCAGCUUCUGGAGAUUCAUUCGGCUAAGACAAGAAAAGGGAGGCAGGAACAAUACAGAUUGGAAGGAAGACCAUAGAGCCUCACCUUAUCUCCAGCCAGGAUCUUGAAAGAAGCCAUAACCUGGUCAGCAGUAUCUGUAUCUGCUGUUUCCCGGGACAUGAAGUCAAUGAAGGCCUGGAACGUCACUACACCCAUGCGAUUAGGAUCGACAAUGCUCAUGAUGCGGGCAAACUCUGCCUCUCCCUGGAGAACAAGAGAGUCAUGUAAGCCUGGACACUUGGGCAGCAGUGCCAUGAAAGCGAGGAGAAAAUGUUCAGCAGCACAUCUCACAGCUGGGAAAGCAAAGUCAAACAGAAACAACUUCAACCUUUCAUUAAAAUACUCUUUUUUAUCUG
Molecule: long non-coding RNA, 495 nt
Organism: Gallus gallus (chicken)
Lineage: Eukaryota; Metazoa; Chordata; Aves; Galliformes; Phasianidae
Exons: 2
Source: RefSeq, a predicted model, not a curated record